UUUAGAUUUUUCUAUUUUAAUUCAAGGUAUUCAUCAUCGGAAAUAAGAAAGCAGUUUACACUCCCACCCAACCUCGGACAGUACCACCGGCACAGCAUUAGUGCAUCCGGCUUCCCCACCCUUCAGCUACCUCUGCUGUAUGAGCCUGUGGAGCCAGUGGACUUUGAAGGACUUGUGAUGACACACUUAGACAGCUUGGAUGCGGAGCUGGCCCAGGAGCUGGGGGACCUCACCGAUGACGACUUGCAUGUGGCGUUCACACCCAAGGAAUGUAGGACUUUGCAGCCCUCUCUGCCAGAGGAAGGAGUUGAACUGGAUCCUCAUGUCAGGGAUUGUGUUCAGACUUAUAUUCGAGAGUGGCUGAUUGUGAACCGGAAGUAAGUUUAUCCCUCUUUAUUUUUAUAUAAUUUAUAUAAAUGUAAAUUUUGCAUUGUUAGUGU
This is a non-coding RNA of Cricetulus griseus (Chinese hamster), 440 nucleotides long. The record is from RefSeq and is a predicted model, not a curated record. NCBI's taxonomy places the organism in Eukaryota, Metazoa, Chordata, Mammalia, Rodentia, Cricetidae.